Homo sapiens (human) is the source of this 107-nucleotide ribosomal RNA. NCBI's taxonomy places the organism in Eukaryota, Metazoa, Chordata, Mammalia, Primates, Hominidae. The record is from Ensembl.
GUCUACAGCCAUACCACCCUGAAUGCUGGAAGCUAAGCAGGAUUGGGCCUGGUUAGUACUUGAUGUUUAUGGCCAUACCAUCCUCGAUGUACCUGAUAUUGAAAGCU